Heteronotia binoei (common prickly gecko) is the source of this 1834-nucleotide long non-coding RNA. RefSeq lists it as uncharacterized. The record is from RefSeq and is a predicted model, not a curated record. The transcript has 3 exons. NCBI's taxonomy places the organism in Eukaryota, Metazoa, Chordata, Lepidosauria, Squamata, Gekkonidae.
GUGUGCGAGAGCGACCGCGCAAGCGCAGGCCUCAUAGAGUGAUCGUUAACGUCACUUUCUCCCUCUCUUCCUCCCCUCCACUAAGUGCGAGGGAGGAGCGGAGCAAGUGCUGACAAGGAGCGUUGAAAGGAAAUGGGACGGAGGGAGGGAAGAGCUGACUGGGUGAAGGGGAAGCCGGACCUCGAAACCUACACCUUGUAUCCUGUGCUGGUUCCCAAGCCUGGACCGAACCAAUGGCUCUCUAACUCCAAACUGAAGUCAACCAUGAUGGCAACAGGCCAGGACACCAAGAUCUGGACUGAAUAUAGAGGAAUCCUGAAGGAUGCUCCAAAGUGCUCCAGCUGCUGCAAUCAGAAGAAAGGACUGUCAUAGUGACAUCUUUUAACACUGCAGAGAAGGCUGCCAAGAUGAUGAUGAUGAGUCCUCUUCACUGAGUCCUUUAAAAUUGGUCUAGACAAGCAGUAGGGAAUUAUCUUCAGGGAACAAUUUUGAUCUGGCGGAGAGGACAAGUGGAUGAGCUAGUAGGCCUUAGUAGCCUUUAAUUUCUAUUAUUCAUAUUUCAUCAGUCAACACUUGUAUCAAGACAAGAAAUUCAGUGCCACCCAAAUUAGUGUCAUUUAAAAUUUUUGGAUUGCUGUCAGCAAUUAUUUCAUAGCUGCAUGUUCAAUAGACCUGUUAACCUGUAAGGAUGCACUCUUCAGAUGGUAAAGCCAAAAUGAUGCCUCCCAUGAUAGAAAGUGACAGCAGAAGGUAGAGACAAAACCUAGCCUUUAAUUGUUGUCUGCAUGUACGAAGCAACAAUCUGGAUAUACUUUGGUCACUUUUCUGCCAGUGGCUAAAAUCUGAGGCUUGGAGAUAGAAAAUUUCUAAUUACAGUUCAGCCUUGAGGCUCAGCAGGUAGCUUUGUGUGGGCCCUAGAAGCUCUCCCCCUUAGAUGCUAAGCCAUAUAUGUUGCCCUGCAUUCUUUGGGAGGAAGAUAAGAACAGUGAUCAUGCCAAGAAUUUUGAAGCUGCCUUCACAACUUGGAUUUGCCUCAUAUCAAAGUUUUCAGUUCCACAACCAUGAACUUUCUUUUUCAUGGUCACACAAAAAUUUUAAGUGGAAGAUAGGCUAACAAUACCUCAAAUAAAAUAAACAUUUUUGAAAACACAGUUCAUUCAGAAUGCACAAUAUAUUUAUCUGAAAUGGUCUUGGCCAGCCAACCCCCCCCCCCAAAAAAAUCAUAUUUGCUUCUCAUUUGAUUGUUUUCAUUUACAAAGAUUUAAACAUGCUAAUUCUAGUGAAACCAAUGGAAUAAGUACUCGGAAUACUGGGAAUUCCAUGAAUGGAGAAACAGGGUAAAUCUUAUUUCUAAUAAUUUAAGUUGGCAUUUCUUUGGAUAAUUAAAUCCAGUGACUGAAGCUGUGAAUGGGCAAGACAGAUCUACUGCUGCAGCUGUGGGGGUGAGGAAGAAGGCAGGAGGCUGGGAGAGUGAUGGGGAGGCAAAAAGAGUGAGUGAUGGGGUGGGAGGCAGAAAGAAAGUGAUGAGGUAAGAGAUGGAAAAAGCAAGAGAUAUGAUGGGAUGGGGGCAAGAAAGAAAGUGGAGGAGUAGAGUAAGAAUAGGGAUGGCAGGAAGGAGAAAGAGUGUGAGAGAAGUAGGGGGAGAAGGGAAGAAACAAAGGUUGGGGGUGAAUGUGUGAAAACCUCAUUUUAAUUGGCCCAGGGGGAGGGAAAGGUAUUAAAGCUUUUUCUGUGCUCUUUGCCUAAUGAAAUGGCCCCCAUUGGUUCAAUCAUACAUAUCUGCAUCACAGAUUAACCUUUGAUCCUGUCCAGUGAAUAAACUUAUUUUUGUGAA